GGGCGAUUAGCUCAGAUGGUUAGAGCGCACGGUUCACAUCCGUGAGGUCACUGGUUCGAGUCCAGCAUUGCCCA
Molecule: transfer RNA, 74 nt
Filed under: bacterium
Lineage: Bacteria
Description: tRNA-Val
Rfam family: tRNA
About the family: Transfer RNA (tRNA) molecules are approximately 80 nucleotides in length. Their secondary structure includes four short double-helical elements and three loops (D, anti-codon, and T loops). Further hydrogen bonds mediate the characteristic L-shaped molecular structure. tRNAs have two regions of fundamental functional importance: the anti-codon, which is responsible for specific mRNA codon recognition, and the 3' end, to which the tRNAs corresponding amino acid is attached (by aminoacyl-tRNA synthetases). tRNAs cope with the degeneracy of the genetic code in two manners: having more than one tRNA (with a specific anti-codon) for a particular amino acid; and 'wobble' base-pairing, i.e. permitting non-standard base-pairing at the 3rd anti-codon position.
Source: RNAcentral